RNAcentral lists this ribosomal RNA (407 nucleotides) under uncultured bacterium. RNAcentral's name for it is "partial 16S ribosomal RNA". It matches the Rfam family "Bacterial small subunit ribosomal RNA", at positions 29 to 526 of the family's 1533-position model. The record is from RNAcentral.
AGCGAACGCUGGCGGCAGGCCUAACACAUGCAAGUCGAACGGAGUGGCGGACGGGUGAGGAACACGGGGGAACGUGCCCUUUGGUUCGGAACAACUCAGGGAAACGUGAGCUAAUACCGGAUGCCAUUGAAGCGGCCCGCGUCUGAUUAUGUAGUUGGUGAGGUAAAGGCUCACCCAGGGGACGAUCAGUAGCUGGUCUGGGAGGAUGAUCAGCCACAUUGGGACUGGUACACGGCCCAAACUCUCACGGGAGGCAGCAGUGGGGAAUCUUGCGCAAUGGGCGAAAGCCUGACGCAUCCAGGCCGCGUGAAUGAUUAAGGUCUUAGGAUGGUAAAAGUGUUUCUCCGGGGACGCGGUACCCGGAGAAGAAGCCCCGGCUAACUUCGUGCCAGCAGCCGCGGUAAUUC